Molecule: non-coding RNA, 131 nt
Organism: Pelobates cultripes (western spadefoot toad)
Lineage: Eukaryota; Metazoa; Chordata; Amphibia; Anura; Pelobatidae
Source: the annotation of a GenBank genome assembly
GUACACAACAGUAGACUCUUUCUGGCUGUGUCUGUAGCCAUUAAGGGGGGACAGCUUGUGUGACAUUAACGGUGCGUGUGGAAAAACCAUCAGGUAUCCUUAUCUGUUGGACUUCUGCAGCACAAACACUU